ACGUCGUGAGACAGUUCGGUCCCUAUCUGCCGUGGGCGCUGGAGAACUGAGGGGGGCUGCUCCUAGUACGAGAGGACCGGAGUGGACGCAUCACUGGUGUUCGGGUUGUCAUGCCAAUGGCACUGCCCGGUAGCUAAAUGCGGAAGAGAUAAGUGCUGAAAGCAUCUAAGCACGAAACUUGCCCCGAGAUGAGUUCUCCCUGACCCUUUAAGGGUCCUGAAGGAACGUUGAAGACGACGACGUUGAUAGGCCGGGUGUGUAAGCGCAGCGAUGCGUUGAGCUAACCGGUACUAAUGAACCGUGAGGCUUAACCUUACAACGCCGAAG
This 327-nucleotide ribosomal RNA is filed under the name Escherichia coli. Its description in RNAcentral is "bacterial LSU rRNA". It matches the Rfam family "Bacterial large subunit ribosomal RNA", at positions 2616 to 2925 of the family's 2925-position model. Lineage: Bacteria; Pseudomonadati; Pseudomonadota; Gammaproteobacteria; Enterobacterales; Enterobacteriaceae. The record is from RNAcentral.